GCAACAUCUCCGGAGAGCCGAGCCAAAAACACCCAACUUCUGUAUCCGAGCAGGAGCUCCGUUUGUCGGAUAUAAAGUGCUCAUUGGAGCCGUUAAAAGCGGGACCGGAGAUACAGACGGUUUCUUUUUUCUGUGCCAUGUUUUUCUGACGGAUUAUUUGAUGAAGCCUUCACCUGCAGCUGACUGUCCACUGUGAAGCAGGAUGAACGGAUAUGAAACUCCAGCUCUCGCCUCCGGCAUCUUCGGCUCCUACAGCUCACAGAUCAACGGCCAUGGCUCUCCGUCUCCUGAGCCUCCGAAAAAUAAAGCCAAGAAGUCCAGUGCCAAAGCUCUCUACG
Plectropomus leopardus (leopard coralgrouper) is the source of this 338-nucleotide non-coding RNA. NCBI's taxonomy places the organism in Eukaryota, Metazoa, Chordata, Actinopteri, Perciformes, Serranidae. The record is from RefSeq and is a predicted model, not a curated record.